Molecule: ribosomal RNA, 253 nt
Filed under: uncultured bacterium
Lineage: Bacteria
Description: partial 16S ribosomal RNA
Rfam family: Bacterial small subunit ribosomal RNA
Source: RNAcentral
UACGUAGGGAGCAAGCGUUGUCCGGAAUCAUUGGGCGUAAAGCGCGUGUAGGCGGCUUGGUAAGUCUGCUCUGAAAGCCCGGGGCUCAACCCCGGGAGGCGGGUGGAUACUGCUGAGCUCGAGUCCGGAAGAGGCGAGUGGAAUUCCUGGUGUAGCGGUGAAAUGCGCAGAUAUCAGGAGGAACACCGGUGGUGUAGACGGCUUUCUGGACCGUAACUGACGCUGAGACACGAAAGCGUGGGUAGCAAACAGG